This 878-nucleotide ribosomal RNA is filed under the name uncultured fungus. RNAcentral's name for it is "SSU rRNA". It matches the Rfam family "Eukaryotic small subunit ribosomal RNA", at positions 606 to 1507 of the family's 1831-position model. Lineage: Eukaryota; Fungi. The record is from RNAcentral.
GUUUGCAGUUAAAAGCUCGUAGUUGAAUUUUGGCCUUGGUUUGUGAGGUUCGGCCUUCACUGGUCGGUACCUUUACGAACCGGGCUCCACCUUCUGGGUUAGCCAGUUGUUACUUCGGUGCAGCUGGUGAACCAGAACUUUUACUUUGAAAAAAUUGGAGUGUUUAAAGCAGGCUUUCAAGCUUGAACAUAUUAGCAUGGAAUAAUGAAAUAGGACUUUGGCCUUAUUUCGUUGGUUUCUAAAGCCAAGGUAAUGAUGAAUAGGGAUAGUUGGGGACAUUAGUAUUCAAUUGUCAGAGGUGAAAUUCUUGGAUUUAUUGAAGACUAACUUCUGCGAAAGCAUUUGUCAAGGAUGUUUUCAUUAAUCAAGAACGAAAGUUAGGGGAUCGAAGACGAUCAGAUACCGUCGUAGUCUUAACCAUAAACUAUGCCGACUAAGGAUCGGAUGGUGUUAUAUUUAUAUUGACCCAUUCGGCAUUUCAGCGAAAGCCAAGUUUUUGGGUUCCGGGGGGAGUAUGGUCGCAAGGCUGAAACUUAAAGGAAUUGACGGAAGGGCACCACCAGGAGUGGAGCCUGCGGCUUAAUUUGACUCAACACGGGGAAACUCACCAGGUCCAGACAUAGUAAGGAUUGACAGAUUGAGAGCUCUUUCUUGAUUCUAUGGGGUGGUGGUGCAUGGCCGUUCUUAGUUCGUGGAGUGAUUUGUCUGGUUAAUUCCGAUAACGAACGAGACCUUACUCUGCUAAAUAGCCAGCAUGACUUUGGUCGUGUCCUUUUUGGCUUCUUAGAGAGACUAUCAAUGUUUAAUUGAUGGAAGUUUGAGCAAUAACAGUCUGUGAUGCCCUUAGAUGUUCUGGGCCGCACGCGCGCUACACUGAU